GGUGACAUAAGUAGCUUUAUGAGCAAUUUUUUUGGUCACUUGCUACUCCAUGAGUCUGAUGAUGCAUCAGCCUCUUCCUGCAAAAGAGACCAUCUGAACUUCCUUUUCAUUGGAACUUUUCGUCUGGAGUCCACACUGUGGUGAGAAGGCAGAGCUAAGAGUGGAAGGCAGGAGCGCAGGAGGGGGCGGCACUCAGCACAACUUAACAUCCAGCGAUUUUGCCUGGGGCAACGACCAGCCUCCCAUCCCUACACACAGCACCACGGAGACUGGAGAGCCAUCUGCCAGGGGGUACUGAGCGGAGGUUGAAUGCUUUCCAAG
This is a long non-coding RNA of Bos taurus (domestic cattle), 321 nucleotides long. The record is from Ensembl. NCBI's taxonomy places the organism in Eukaryota, Metazoa, Chordata, Mammalia, Artiodactyla, Bovidae.